Long non-coding RNA from Xenopus laevis (African clawed frog), 373 nucleotides. RefSeq lists it as uncharacterized. Lineage: Eukaryota; Metazoa; Chordata; Amphibia; Anura; Pipidae. The transcript is spliced from 3 exons. The record is from RefSeq and is a predicted model, not a curated record.
GGAACAAGCAGCGGCUGUGCUGGGAUUUCUCAGCCCCAAACACAUCAGGUGUCUAACAUUAGUCCGACUAACGACUGUGCAGGGAUUUGGUCGGGUGUGGGGCUGCUCUGAAACUGCUUCUAAAAAAAUAAAAUAAAAAGGAGGUUGAACUCAAUGGACAUAAAUAUGGCUUUAUUCAACCUUAAUCACUGUGUAAAUCCUGCAUUGGCCACCUGGAGGGGGUUAGAAGUUAAGUUUUUAAACUACUGCCAGACAAUACACUCCAAUAAUUGCUGCCUGUGUAAUACCUCCACCAGCCGAACUAAUUUCCCACAAUCCCGUGCGCCUCCUUCCACAAACAGGUGCCCCGGAUUCCAAGAUGGCUACCGCAUUG